This is a long non-coding RNA of Eucalyptus grandis, 1002 nucleotides long. RefSeq lists it as uncharacterized. Lineage: Eukaryota; Viridiplantae; Streptophyta; Magnoliopsida; Myrtales; Myrtaceae. The record is from RefSeq and is a predicted model, not a curated record. The transcript has 2 exons.
UUCUGUUUUGAGCAUAUAACUGUUUACAUUCUGUUUUUGUUUCUGUUAUCUAAUUUUCUUAGUUAGUUGAACUGUGAAACCGCAUCUUGGCGGUUCUUUAGAUAAACAGCUUGUAAUAUAAAUAAGAUUGAAGAGCAAGCAAGUCAAUAAGCUCCCAGAUGAAUGUUCUUCAUUGAAUACAGAGAAAGAAAAUCCAAAAUCCUUCAUCCAUUCUCAUCUCUUGUUCUGUUCGUAAGUCUUCACAGCUAAAGCAGUUAAUCUGUCAGUAACGAGCUUGUCAUGCUAGGUUUGGGGAAAUAAUUUCAAGGAAAAAAGCAGCGACUGCGAGAAUGGAAUUUUUCAGCUAAUAUCAGUCCUGUUCUUUUUCGUUUCCUUUUUUCCCUUUUGCAUUCUAAGAAAGUGGCGCAAUCCUCUUACUCUGCAACCAGGUUAUGAGCGGCUCUGCUGUCUAUGCUGCAUGCAGCCUCGUGACCACACUUUUGCUACAACAUGCGCGUGUCAAGAGCCCAGGCAUUUGAGGGAGGAGAAGGUGAUAGAGCGCCUUCAUUUCAGUCACAGGGGUUUUGGGAGCGGACAUUGAUCAAUCACAUACUAACGCGGGCAGCAUACAUGGCAAGUCUGUUGUUCUUUUGGUAAACUUAAUUUGCAGCGCUUAGUUGGGUGGAGCUGACUAUACAUCAUUUGGCUUCCGAGAGCUGACACUUGUCAAUGAAUGGAGUAUCAUGUGCUUAGCAUAGUAAGAAAACCAGUCUCUGAAACACAAGCACUGUUGACUUAUGUAUGCUUCUUUAGGAGUUUCCCAUCGCCUUGUGCUCACUGCAUCUUCCGACUUGCGCAUCUGGAAUUGGAUGGGAGUUCAUCAUCGGCACAACCUCAAGUAUAUUGUAUUGUCAGGCUCUUGGACUCUGGCGAGGAGGUUAAGUUCUUCGUUUUUCGCUCUCUUUUUUCAGGGUUAAGUUCUUCACAUCCACUUGUUCAACACUCUAAUCGGAUUGGCUUGAA